This 1288-nucleotide ribosomal RNA is filed under the name Latilactobacillus sakei. RNAcentral's name for it is "bacterial SSU rRNA". It matches the Rfam family "Bacterial small subunit ribosomal RNA", at positions 46 to 1310 of the family's 1533-position model. Lineage: Bacteria; Bacillati; Bacillota; Bacilli; Lactobacillales; Lactobacillaceae. The record is from RNAcentral.
GCCUAUACAUGCAGUCGAACGCACUCUCGUUUAGAUUGGAGGAGCUUGCUCCUGAUUGAUAAACAUUUGAGUGAGUGGCGGACGGGUGAGUAACACGUGGGUAACCUGCCCUAAAGUGGGCGAUAACAUUUGGAAACAGAUGCUAAUACCGCACAAAACCUAACACCGCAUGGUGUACGGUUGAAAGAUGGUUUCGGCUAUCACUUUAGGAUGGACCCGCGGUGCACUACUUAGUUGGUGAGGUAAAGGCUCACCAAGACCGUGAUGCAUAGCCUACCUGAGAGGGUAAUCGGCCACACUGGGACUGAGACACGGCCCAGACUCCUACGGGAGGCAGCAAUAGGGAAUCUUCCACAAUGGACGAAAGUCUGAUGGACCAACGCCUCGUGAGUGAAUAAGGUUUUCGGAUCGUAAAACUCUGUUGUUGGAAAAGAAUGUAUCUGAUACUAACUGAUCAGGUAGUGACGGUAUCCAACCAGAAAGCCACGGCUAACUACGUGCCACCAGCCGCGGUAAUACGUAUGUGGCAAGCGUUGUCCGGAUUUAUUGGGCGUAAAGCGAGCGCAAGCGGUUUCUUAAGUCUGAUGUGAAAGCCUUCGGCUCAACCGAAUAAGUGCAUCGGAAACUGGGAAACUUGAGUGCAGAAGAGGACAGUGGAACUCCAUGUGUAGCGGUGAAAUGCGUAGAUAUAUGGAAUAACACCAUUGGCGAAAGCGGCUGUCUGGUCUGUAACUGACGCUGAGGCUCGAAAACAUGGGUAGCAAACAGGAUUAGAUACCCUGGUAGUCCAUGCCGUAAACUAUGAGUGCUAGGUGUUGGAAGGUUUCCGCCCUUCAGUGCCGCAGCUAACGCAUUACGCACUCGGCCUGGGGAGUACGACCGCAAGUUGACACUCAAGGAAUUGACCGGGGCCCGCACAGCGGUGGAGCAUGUGGUUUAUUUCGAGCACGCGUAGAACCUUAUCUGGCUUGAGAUCCUUUGACACUCUAGAGAUAGAGCUUUCCCUCCGGGACAACAGACACGCGUGCAUGAUAGAUUUCGUCUCAUUGUCUCGCGAAGAUGAGGGUCAAUACGGACGAGCGCAAACUUAUUAUUCAUUGUCAGCAAUUUAUUUGUGCUCCUACAGAAAGGCGGGGGCGAACCGCAGAAAAAUGGAGAAAACCAAAUACAUCUCGCCUCUUCACUGGGUGAGCACAAGCUGUCUAUGUAGUAGGAGAGAAUAUCUUAUCACUCAGUACUAUGCCUACUCGCUCAUUAAGGGAGUCUCACUUUAGACCGGAGACUCGUG